Long non-coding RNA from Dromaius novaehollandiae (emu), 1648 nucleotides. RefSeq lists it as uncharacterized. NCBI's taxonomy places the organism in Eukaryota, Metazoa, Chordata, Aves, Casuariiformes, Dromaiidae. The transcript has 2 exons. The record is from RefSeq and is a predicted model, not a curated record.
UUUUUUUUUUUUUUUUUCCAAAUCAGUGCAAUAUAACAUGAAAGUACUGCUGUACCAUAUAGGUCACCACAGAGAAUUGUGAAUCAUCCAUCUCUUCUACAUAUUCGAUGGUGCUCAGGUUGGUAAACUUCCAUUCUCCGUCAGUUAGGAAGUAAGUCUGGCUGCUUUUCUUCAUCUCAGCUGGUGUCCGUCUCAGCGUCAUGACAAGGUCCGUUACUGCUUGGGCAGAUGGGAGAGAAGGAGAGAUGUUGCAGCAGUUCAGAGUUCUAUCAGAGCCCCGUUGUGAUAAAACGUAGCUUGCCACCAUACCUGGAUAGAGAAAUGAAGCCAGGCUAAUGUUGCACGUCUGGGUGUCAAACGGAAACUUGAGGAUCUUCAAGCUGCACAUGGUGGUAACCUGGAAGGUCAAGCUUGUGUUGAAGCUGCCAUUGUGCGUGACAUCCGAGUACUCCAGUUUGUUCGACUUCUGUUCGUUGACUCUGGAGGAAUCAAGGGGUGAAGAGCAUCAUAGCUCCAAGGUGCUGCAACGCUCCUCAAUCGGCAAAAGCUUGGGCUGUAAGCGUCCCGUUGGGGUUGCUCUGCGUGGUCACCCAGCCGCGACGUGUAGCAGGAGGGCAACGAGGGGAGGAGAUGUGGGGCCUGGAGAAGGGCUGGUAAGUGCCUCUGCACUAAGGUUUGCAGUAGCUGAAUCUGCACAGCUCACACGUGGGGCAGCUGCUUUGCUCCCCCUGCACCUCCUACGGAAACUCCUUGCUCUCCCCUUUCCUUCCCACUCUUGCCUGCGGCAAAGGCUCGUUGCUCGGCUCUCUGCUGCGCUGCAGGGCUUCCCCUUCCUCCCCCCCCACACCCAAAGGGUCAGCAGCUGCUCCCAACUCUCUGUCAGAUCCAGAACAGUCUAUUCUGCACCUUCUAAAAAAAUGCUAAAGGUAAUUUCAUCCCACUACAUUGCUGCUCUCUGCUUCCUCAGCUUUCGCUGUAGCCCAUAUGUGGCAUUUCUGGAGAUGUUACAGCAUUACAGAGCCACAAAGUGCUGUGUCUAAACUGCGGUCCCUGUUAUUGCGAGUUAGAGUUAGCUCAUGGGAAUAGCCUUUAAUCAAAUAAAUUUGUCCUGUUUCCUGCAAUACCAUAAAAAGUUUUCACCCAUUGCGUUUCUCUUAAGCCAGCAGAUAAAAAUGAAAUGCGAACCUACACUUCUAAAAUGAAGACUGGGGGGGCCCAGUACGUAUCCAGUGGCAGGACAACUUUGGAAAUGUUACAGAAAUCCUGCGGGUCCCAGGUCACUAAAGUGUUCAUCCACUCCUGGGGGAAGAAAUUGCAGGAGAGAAGUGAGGGCUGGGCUCAGCACCAGCAAUCAUGCUGGUUGUCACAGGACAGAAAUGGUUUCAAAGAACCUACCAAGUUCAACACGAAGUAAAAACUGACAGUCUGGAGCUUUUCAACCUAAAGAAAAGAAACAACAUGCAAGAUAUUUAGCUGAUUUCCUUAGGUAAACGCGAUGCAGAGCUCAGAAGCUGUCACUGCUCAGUGGACAGCACAGAUUGUAGAAACGGCUCAGGAGGAGAGCUGGAGAUCUUGGUGCUACGACUGAGCAGGAAAAUGGGAGCAUAAGAACCAAGAGUUUGAAAACAAUAAAUGGUCAUUAACAUUG